Molecule: transfer RNA, 74 nt
Filed under: bacterium
Lineage: Bacteria
Also listed under: 1 other name
Description: tRNA-His
Rfam family: tRNA
About the family: Transfer RNA (tRNA) molecules are approximately 80 nucleotides in length. Their secondary structure includes four short double-helical elements and three loops (D, anti-codon, and T loops). Further hydrogen bonds mediate the characteristic L-shaped molecular structure. tRNAs have two regions of fundamental functional importance: the anti-codon, which is responsible for specific mRNA codon recognition, and the 3' end, to which the tRNAs corresponding amino acid is attached (by aminoacyl-tRNA synthetases). tRNAs cope with the degeneracy of the genetic code in two manners: having more than one tRNA (with a specific anti-codon) for a particular amino acid; and 'wobble' base-pairing, i.e. permitting non-standard base-pairing at the 3rd anti-codon position.
Source: RNAcentral
GUGGAAGUAGCUCAGCCGGUAAGAGCGUCUGACUGUGGAUCAGAAGGCCGGGGGUUCGAAUCCCCUCUUCCACC